Pongo pygmaeus (Bornean orangutan) is the source of this 767-nucleotide long non-coding RNA. RefSeq lists it as uncharacterized. NCBI's taxonomy places the organism in Eukaryota, Metazoa, Chordata, Mammalia, Primates, Hominidae. The transcript has 4 exons. The record is from RefSeq and is a predicted model, not a curated record.
CCAGUGCAGAGUGACACAGACAGGCGACAGCGUCGCUGAGCACUGACUUCUAUUUCACGGAGGCAGACAGCGAAAACCACUUCAGAACCACGGCAAGGCAUGAGAGAAGCACAGGGUAGCUGCAAAGUUUUGGAAAAGACCUCUGCAACAACUGGAAGCACAGUGUACCCAAGUGGCAUGGUGCAGAGGGCAGAAAGAAGACAAAGAAUGAAGACAAAAGAAGCCUUUUUCCUCAAGAAGAUUGCAAUCUAGUGGUGGAGCUGGAAAAUGAAGGAAAGCAGUGGCCAUGUAUGUCAUGAGGACAUUCCAAUAACCCUAUGUGGUAAGGAACCGAAUCAGCCUGCCAACAACCACUGAAAAACUGAGCCCUCCUGCUGACAGCCAUGUGAGAGGAACACCUUGGAAGUGGAUCCUCCAGUCCUGAUCAUACUUCAGAUGACUGCAGCCCAAGCCAACAUCUUGCUUGAGUGGAGCCUCAUGAGUGACUCAGUCAAAACCACACAGCUGAGAUAUUUCCGACCCACAGAUACUGAGAGAAUAAAUGUUUAUUGCUUUAAGCUACUAGGUUUCCUUCCUUCCUUCCUUCCUUCCUUUAUUUUCUCUUCUCCUUCUUUCCUUCCUCCCUCCCUCUCCUCCUCCUCCUUCUUCUUCUUCUUCCUCUUUCUCUUCUUCCUCUUCCCCUUCCCCUUCCUCUUCUUCCUUCUUUCUAUCUUACUUUCUUUCUCUUUCUUUCUUUCUUUCUCUAUGAAAAUAUCAGGAGUACUAUA